AAGUCACUAAACAUGUGAAGAGAAAGUGGAUGUCAUUACUUGGGUCCAGAAGCUGUCUUCAAGAGUACAAGUAUCCUGUAAAAGGAUUGCAGCACAUGCAAAAACACAUCUUUCCAGAGACUUUCGAAUCAUAUAUCCAUAACUUCCAUAACUUCCAUACUAGUUGACUAGUUAUAAUGCAGUUACAACAAGUUAAAAAUAUGUUGUUGAUAUCUGUAAUGUUAAUUCCUGAUAGUCAAUUUUUGUCAUUAAAUGCUAAAACGGCUUGCCAUAAAAGAGCCCUUCUUCAAACGGUUAACUUCAACGUAUCAGACUUCAAUGUCACGAUUGUAGCAAGGUAACAAAGAGGGGCGGGGUCUCUAACCCUAUUACGGAUUGCCAAUAAGCCACGCUUAUUUAAAGGACAGGCGAAAGCGAAGGGCGGCUGGGGUCCUGUUAGCAAUUGCCCGGUGCGUGGCUUGUAGCUGUGUGGGACCAUUAGUCCCGGUAUAUUUCCCCCGGUAUAAGUAUUUUACUGUUUUUAGCAUGUGAUAGUUUGAAACUCAGGAUCAUUGUGGAUUUGUUUUGCCAAGAAUGUGGGUUUGAUGUUCGGGACCACCGUACAGUUGGCUGGUUGGUUUCGUUUCGUUAAGGUUGUUGGAUGAUGGUGACUAGUCGCUGUUCUCUUUUGGGUUUUCUUUUUUGUAAGAUUGACUGCUCCCUGUGGUGAAUGUAUGUUAAAUCCCUAGCCAGCUGGUGUUUUGUUUCUUUUCGAAUUAUUAAGUUUGUGUAAUUUGGUUUAAUGGUUGGCUAGGGGAUUUUGUUUUUAUUUUUCCUUUCUCUUUUUAAGUACAUUUGAUUUUCUGUGUCUUCCUGUACCCUUUGGGUAUACCCCUUGGGUAGCUUCCCACCAAUUUGUGGGGAAUCAGAGACGGGGAUUGAUAGAGCCCCAACAGGUUUUGUGUGCUUGAUUGUGUGAUGUAUUGAUAUUGAGGGUGCAUUAUUAAUGAUUUGUGGUGGGUUUAUGGGGCGGAGAUUGCUGUGCUCAUACAGUUUGCAGUGAAACUACUCUUCCCUGUAGGAAGCUCUAUUAUCUUUUGUCUGCUGAGUAUACCAUCUGAAGGAGGCUGCUCUGGGGGGCUGUGUCCGGUCAGGGUGAACGACCCAAAUUAUUUUUAUGUUCUGUUAAAUAAAGUUUAAGGUGUUUUCUAUUUUAUGCUUACUGUGGUGGAUUUUCUUUGUAUGCACCCGAGUUCCCUGGGCAUUCGGGUUGCUACACUUUACUCACUGAUGAUUGGCCCAAAUUCCAUUUUCGUGUUCUAUGCCGCUGUCUCUGGCCGUGUUUCAUUGGUUCUGUCCGUGGACUCCUACAGAAGGAAGAUCUUCUCCUAGUCCUCUGCAUUUUACCUUUUCAAUUAAGGAAGAAAUUCAGAAUCUGCCAUUUUCACUGUUUCCCUCAUCCAUGCUCUUCUUUAGAAUAACACAAGCCCAUGACACGCUGAAAAUAAUGAGCAUCGGAAUUUGCCCGGACGUGUUUUCUGCCAGAGAAGGACUACUAGGAGCCGGAGAAACAGGAGAAUCAAGGCUAUAUAGGAUGAUGAGGUGCCACAAAUUUUGACCCAGCCAACGCCAGUAUUAUUAUUGAGGGAACGGAAGUCCUGCAAGACCUGGAUGUAUCCAGAGCCUGUGCCCUGCUAGGGCUGGUAUAUGCUCUCAACCUCAGCUACCCAAAGGAACUAAAAAAUACUUUUGAGGUGUUUCAGAAAAUAAUUCUUGAGCUGGAUGGUCUGAAAGCUAGGCUGAAGGUAAUGUCUUUAAACAAUAAACUGUUGUAUUCCUGAAA
Molecule: long non-coding RNA, 1822 nt
Organism: Tachysurus fulvidraco (yellow catfish)
Lineage: Eukaryota; Metazoa; Chordata; Actinopteri; Siluriformes; Bagridae
Exons: 3
Source: RefSeq, a predicted model, not a curated record